GUUCCUUCGGGGACAUCCGAUAAAAUUGGAACGAAACAGAGGGAUGACACGCACAAAUCGAGAAAUGGUCUAAAUUUUU
Molecule: non-coding RNA, 79 nt
Organism: Nicotiana attenuata
Lineage: Eukaryota; Viridiplantae; Streptophyta; Magnoliopsida; Solanales; Solanaceae
Source: Rfam